UAAGAUGACGAAAUGCCAGCUGACAUGA
This 28-nucleotide non-coding RNA is filed under the name Homo sapiens (human). The record is from RNAcentral. Lineage: Eukaryota; Metazoa; Chordata; Mammalia; Primates; Hominidae.